RNAcentral lists this transfer RNA (68 nucleotides) under Chiropterotriton magnipes (bigfoot splayfoot salamander). RNAcentral describes it as "tRNA-Asp". The record is from RNAcentral. Lineage: Eukaryota; Metazoa; Chordata; Amphibia; Caudata; Plethodontidae.
AAGAUGUUAGUAAAAUAUUAUAAAGCCUUGUCAUGACUUAGUUGCUAGUUAAAUCUAACACAUCUUAU